GCCUGGCUGGCUCAGUCAGAAGAGCGUAUGACUCUUGAUCUUAGGGUUGUGAGUUUGAGCCCCGCACUGGGUG
Non-coding RNA from Ailuropoda melanoleuca (giant panda), 73 nucleotides. Lineage: Eukaryota; Metazoa; Chordata; Mammalia; Carnivora; Ursidae. The record is from Rfam.